Molecule: small RNA, 68 nt
Filed under: Parafrankia colletiae
Lineage: Bacteria; Bacillati; Actinomycetota; Actinomycetes; Frankiales; Frankiaceae
Description: Frankia sp. Cc1.17 ASdes TB sRNA
Rfam family: ASdes TB sRNA
Source: Rfam by way of RNAcentral
AGUGUCACCGGGUCGACCGAGCGGGUGACCAGGAGGUAGUCGCGCAUCGCCAUCGCGUGGCGGCCCUC